This 490-nucleotide ribosomal RNA is filed under the name Sterigmatomyces sp. PS4C-F14. Its description in RNAcentral is "eukaryotic LSU rRNA". The stretch from base 85 to 239 matches the Rfam family "5.8S ribosomal RNA". The record is from RNAcentral. Lineage: Eukaryota; Fungi; Basidiomycota; Agaricostilbomycetes; Agaricostilbales; Agaricostilbaceae.
UACUUUCCUUCGGGAGAGUUUGAAAAGCUCUUGUGAUUUUAAUCAAGUCCAGGAUGUGAAUCCAAUUUGAAUAAGUUGUAAAACAACUACAAACGGUGGAUCUCUUGGCUCUCGUAUCGAUGAAGAACGCAGCGAAACGCGAAAUGUAAUGUGAAUUGCAGAAUUCAGUGAAUCAUCGAAUCUUUGAACGCAUCUUGCACUCUCGAAUCACUAUCGAGAGUAUGCCUGUUUGAGUGUCGCGAAACUCUCAACCCCGCCUCAUGCUUUAUUGCGUGUGGGUAGCUUGGGCUUGGAUCAUGAUCUUUGCAGUAAUGCGCUAGCAGAACUGCUGGAUUGAAAUACAACAAGCUGAAUCUAUAUACUUGCGGCUUGACCUGUCGUUGUAAGCACACAAAUGCAUUCGAUGGGGACGCGAGAAAAUGGAAUGAGCUUUCCAAAUGUGUUACACUUUGCAGCUUCUAUUAACUUAGAGCUCUUAGUGCAUUCUGAC